UCUCUCAGUUGCAUUCAUACGGCUGGGUUGCGUAAUGUAGGAACAAAUGUUUAAUUUUAAAUUCGUAGGAAAAGUGGAUAAAUAUCCGGAACUGUAUAUUUACAAAUUGAAAGGGUAUUCAAUGAAGGAGGUGACAGAGAGAGCACGGCACGAAGUAGCCAAGGAGGUUGAUCAUCAGAUAGAUGCAACGGGUUAACCCAAGAUGAUCAGAGUCUGCAGAACCUUUACUCCAAAAUCAUUGUUUUCAGUGUUGGUGAUAAUGCUAUCAAUGAUUAUCUAUCUUUGAUCAGUCACUACAAAAUGCUUUUCUUGCCACUGCCACUGCCAGUCUACAGACAUCUGUCUGAGAAUCUGGCUGAAAACCCAAAGAGAUUCUGGUCAUACAUAAAGCACACCAGUGAACAAAACAGUCACCUAUAAGUGCAGAAUUCACAACAUGGACUGAACUCUCCCCAAGCUUGGGGGAAAUUGUUCUACAAAUUUUGGAGUAUGUGUCUCAAAAUGUAUUAAACUUAUUUUAUUUCUAAAAGUAACAGAUAAUUCGUACAUUCCUUAGGUAUCACACAGUUGUAUGUUUCCCAAUUCUGCUCAAAUUUAAAUAGCUGUAAGCGAACUACUAUGUAAAUGGAACCCAAAUGUGUAUUAAUCUCACCUUGGUUUGCAGUACUUGGACAUAUAUUAAUUUCAGUCCAGAACUAUUGCUUAUAGUAUAUCUGUCAAGAGCUGCUACUGUUUGGUGUCAAGGACUAACAGACAAUUUUAAUUUGUUUUCACUGAAAGUUUAUUUGUGUUUAAUAAAUGUUAUUACUCCUAAAGUAAGAGAUACAAUAGUGACCAACAUAUUUUGUUGUUAACACUUCCCACUGUGGUCAGAUAUUUCAUGAUUGAAGCCAUGUCAAAAUAUCUGUGAGCUCAGUUGUGUAAAUAAAUGAAAAAACAGCAUCUGAAUCACAUUUUUUUUUAUUGAAGAAUAUCAGUUUUGAUAUGUCCUGUAAAUUAUGUUCCAGCAUAGAUGUGUUUCCUUAUCAGCUUUGACAGCAACUGUUUGUCCUGUUUUAAGACUGUCAUUUAAAUUUUCUAAAAUUGCUUGAUUCCUUUGGUCUAUGCUUAAGGAUGCAAUUUCAAGUUGAGUUGAACAAUUACUGUAAAUUAAAGGGAAAUCCAUUAUCUAUUGUGCUAAAAUCUAUUAUUUAUUACAAUAUAGUAAAUAACUAGCUUAGCGCCCGUGCUUCACUUGUGUAUACGUGUGGCCUCCACAGAUUUGUUUGUUUUUCUUUAACCAGAUUUUUUGUUGUUCACAAACUGCAACACAUGCUAAACUUUUCACAUUAAUUAAGGCCAUAAAAUCAUGGUCUUUUCCGAUGUACUUUGAUCAAACAGCAAUUUUCUAGCUUGGGUCAAAGUUUUUGUUCAUCAAGCUUUUGGUGUUCUUGUGGAGAUAUUUCCAUACAAACUUUCACGCCCUACCAGAUAUUUCUUUAUAUCUAAUUGAGAAGUGAAAUAUCAAUUUUCAUAGAUUUAACUUUAAAAUUUUUCAACACAAAUACACAUUUCCUUGAAAAUUUUCAUCUCCUAUUUCACUCCCAUAAGGGCUUGAAAUCCAGAACCAGUGAAACACUUUUUUUUAUUCCUAACAGAGAAGCCAAAUACAAAUUUUCAUAGAUUUAGCUUCGAAAGAGCUUUAAUAAUGAAUACAUGUUGGAAACUUGUCAUCCCCUAUACCACAUCUUUAGGGGACUGAAUUUCCAAAAACACUGAAAAAUGUAUUUUUUAUGGGUAACUGAGAAGUUAGACACAAAUCUUUAUAGAUGUAGCUUUAAAUAUGCUUUAGUAGUUUCUUUAAUAACAAUUUAAUUUUAAAAAAAAUUCAUCCACUAUUUUAUGCCCAAAGGGGUUAAAUUUCCAAAAAUGCUUGAAGCGUAACAGCCCAUU
Molecule: long non-coding RNA, 1932 nt
Organism: Schistocerca cancellata (South American locust)
Lineage: Eukaryota; Metazoa; Arthropoda; Insecta; Orthoptera; Acrididae
Exons: 4
Source: RefSeq, a predicted model, not a curated record